RNAcentral lists this ribosomal RNA (322 nucleotides) under Sclerophrys dodsoni. RNAcentral's name for it is "partial 12S ribosomal RNA". It matches the Rfam family "Bacterial small subunit ribosomal RNA", at positions 895 to 1384 of the family's 1533-position model. Lineage: Eukaryota; Metazoa; Chordata; Amphibia; Anura; Bufonidae. The record is from RNAcentral.
UAAAACCCAAAGGACUUGACGGUACCCCAUAUCCCCCUAGAGGAGCCUGUCCUAUAAUCGAUAAUCCACGUUUAACCUCACCAUUUUUAGCCAAUCAGCCUGUAUACCUCCGUCGUCAGCUUACCACGUGAGCGCCUAUUAGUGAGCUUAAUGCUUUUACACCAAUACGUCAGGUCAAGGUGCAGCAAAUAAAAUGGGAAGAGAUGGGCUACACUUUCUAUCAUAGAAUAAACGAAAAACUACUUAUGAAACCUAGUUAGAAGGCGGAUUUAGCAGUAAAAAGGAAUCAGCAUGUCCAUUUUAACCCGGCACUGGGGUGUGU